Molecule: long non-coding RNA, 1496 nt
Organism: Mus musculus (house mouse)
Lineage: Eukaryota; Metazoa; Chordata; Mammalia; Rodentia; Muridae
Product: predicted gene, 36901
Exons: 4
Source: RefSeq, a predicted model, not a curated record
UGCUAGUCUAUAAUGACCUGACUAAAUGUGCUUUUAAAUCCAUUUUUGCCUAGGUACACCUCAAACCAAUCUGGCAUAGCUGGGUUACUACAAAGACCCCCUGUGCUGUGAUGCCAGCCCAGUGAAUCAAAUCUAAUAACCCAGAGUGGGAUUUAAUAAGCCUUGACAGCAGGAACACUCCAUGCCAGCAAGGCAGAUUGAUCCAACUUCUUUCCCCUUUGCUCUCGCAGAUGCACACACACGAGGACAAACCUUGUGAAGAACGACUGCCAGACGAAGAGCUCCCUCAACACUGAGACACUAAUGACUUCCUGAGUCUCUCCACAGGCUUUGGAUGUCAGCCAUUGUCCUGUGCCUGUCUCUGUGUCCUGAAGGUGAAACUGCAGUCACUGAAUACUUUACUCAGUCAAAGGAUGCCUUCCCAGAACAGAACCCAGACAUGUGAGCAGCUGGCUGGACACAACAAAGCCCAAUAGAAGGCUUCUCUCCAGUGGUUUCUUCCUGCCUGUUUUUCAUGGUGCUGGUUGCAUAGAUAACAAGAAAAGAUUCAGGAGAGAGGAAAGCAACCAGAUAUGUGUCAGGAGCUGGGACCUCGAAAUAGCCACCGUACUGAGGCAGAAGCAACAGCCUCGAAAUCUUGUCUGCAAAAGAAGAGGGAAGGUCGUUCGUUGGUCCCCAGGUCCAGAUGCAAAGAGGCACAGAAGAAGCACUACUCCUGGCACCCCUGAUGGCCCUGCUCCCUCCCGAUGACUCACGCUGAUUCCGCGGAGGCCUGGCUAUUCCUGCUAGGUCAUGCCAUCACUACUGACCCAUGAGCUGGACGGCUGAGAUAUUCAUGAAGUGUUCGUGAGUGGACCAAGCUGCUGCCAUUGCUCAUCUAUGAACUGAUCUGCUGAUUUCCUGACAACACAGAUGGGAUUUGCUCCAAAGAACUUUUCUAAACAGGUCCGCUUUUCUGUACCCUUUAUUUCCCACUACUUCGGGUGGGUGGGCUAGAAGGGAGGGUGAAGCAUUUAAGAACCUUCAUUCAAAGUAAGGUUGAGAAAAUCUGAAGCCUACGGGGUUCCUUUUUUCUUUCCUGCCCACCCUCUCAGCCUUUCCUUCUAGUCUACCUCCAUUCCUUUGUGUCAACUGCCAAUUUGCAUAAACACUUUCUACCAGGGACUCUUAGUGGGCACACUGUGCUGGAAGAGUGUAGGUAAUUUUCACUAUCUUUCCUGCCCCCACCCCCUAUUCUACUCUCUCCAUAAUUAAACUUGUAUCAGCCUGUCUGCAGGAGCCCCUCCUCCCACCAGAUCAUCACUCCUUCAGAACUCCACCUCUUGGUGUAUAACUCUGAUCCAUAGCUAUUUCUUGCUGUUCUUCUCAGCCUUUCCUUCUAUCCCAUCUGCAUCCCUUCUAUCCCAUCUGCAUUCAUCAAACUAGAAAAGUAUUCACUAACAGGGAUGCCACAGCCACUAAACUUGACUAUGAUCCACAGUAGGCAGUAACAAGCA